RNAcentral lists this unclassified non-coding RNA (230 nucleotides) under Melitaea cinxia (Glanville fritillary). Its description in RNAcentral is "misc RNA ENSMCXG00005019980.1". The record is from RNAcentral. Lineage: Eukaryota; Metazoa; Arthropoda; Insecta; Lepidoptera; Nymphalidae.
GCUCACCCCGUUUGUUUUAUUUUUUAUUCUUUAUUCUUGGGUCAAAUUUAGUAAUUCAAAUUUCACCCUUUUCCUGUCAACCGAUUAAUCUGAAAUUUUGUAUACACUUUGGAUUUUGGUGACAAUACAAUUAUGUUUAUUCAUUAUCAUUAUAAAUUCAAGAUGGCCGCCGCUACAAAAUGGCGGAUAAUUUAUGUUUUAUCAAUCCCGUCAAUAUGGGUAUCAAAUGA